RNAcentral lists this long non-coding RNA (238 nucleotides) under Capsicum annuum. RNAcentral's name for it is "long non-coding RNA (CANN_LNC010348)". Lineage: Eukaryota; Viridiplantae; Streptophyta; Magnoliopsida; Solanales; Solanaceae. The record is from RNAcentral.
UAAACCAUAAUUCGUGGAUGGAUGAUCCAAUGGGGGCAUGACGGAUAAUGAAAGAUCCCAUAAAAUUUUAAUUAUUUUAUUUUUGACUCUCCUAGAGUGUAAUGUUGAUUUUUCACUUGAAUUUCUUUAGGGAUAUUAAAAGGGUAUUUAUGGAAAGUUUUGAAAUUUUUGGAAGGGGUUCAGGCUAAUUUUUGGACAAUGAAUCAUUAAUGCUCCAUGAUAGUGGUGUGCCACGGAG